GGGGUCGUCGGCUAGUCUGGUCUAGGCUUUCAGCCUUGGGCGCUGAAGAUCGCUGGUUCAAAUCCGGCCGACCCCA
This 76-nucleotide transfer RNA is filed under the name Nitrososphaerota archaeon. Its description in RNAcentral is "Thaumarchaeota archaeon tRNA-Pro". It matches the Rfam family "tRNA". From Rfam's summary of the family: Transfer RNA (tRNA) molecules are approximately 80 nucleotides in length. Their secondary structure includes four short double-helical elements and three loops (D, anti-codon, and T loops). Lineage: Archaea; Thermoproteati; Nitrososphaerota. RNAcentral also lists the same sequence under 2 other names. The record is from RNAcentral.